GAGUUUGAUCGUGGCUCAGAUUGAACGCUGGCGGCAUGCCUUACACAUGCAAGUCGAACGGCAGCAUGAUCUAGCUUGCUAGAUUGAUGGCGAGUGGCGAACGGGUGAGUAAUACAUCGGAACGUGCCCUGUAGUGGGGGAUAACUAGUCGAAAGAUUAGCUAAUACCGCAUACGACCUGAGGGUGAAAGUGGGGGACCGCAAGGCCUCAUGCUAUAGGAGCGGCCGAUGUCUGAUUAGCUAGCUGGUGGGGUAAAGGCCCACCAAGGCGACGAUCAGUAGCUGGUCUGAGAGGACGAUCAGCCACACUGGGACUGAGACACGGCCCAGACUCCUACGGGAGGCAGCAGUGGGGAAUUUUGGACAAUGGGCGAAAGCCUGAUCCAGCAAUGCCGCGUGUGAAGAAGGCCUCGGUGUAAG
This 419-nucleotide ribosomal RNA is filed under the name uncultured microorganism. Its description in RNAcentral is "bacterial SSU rRNA". It matches the Rfam family "Bacterial small subunit ribosomal RNA", at positions 9 to 429 of the family's 1533-position model. The record is from RNAcentral.